This is a long non-coding RNA of Papaver somniferum (opium poppy), 106 nucleotides long. RefSeq lists it as uncharacterized. The record is from RefSeq and is a predicted model, not a curated record. Lineage: Eukaryota; Viridiplantae; Streptophyta; Magnoliopsida; Ranunculales; Papaveraceae. The transcript has 3 exons.
GAACUAUGGCGAAUGCAUUUAUGGUCAUUAAUGCAUAAAUAAAGAGACCAAUUAGUAGUGAUUGAAUUCCUUCUAUGGUUCCACAUGAGAAACCAAUACAAAUAUA